Molecule: ribosomal RNA, 438 nt
Filed under: uncultured bacterium
Lineage: Bacteria
Description: bacterial SSU rRNA
Rfam family: Bacterial small subunit ribosomal RNA
Source: RNAcentral
GACGAACGCUGGCGGCGUGCUUAACACAUGCAAGUCGAACGGUGACGAGGAGCUUGCUCCUCCGAUCAGUGGCGAACGGGUGAGUAACACGUGAGCAACCUGCCCCAGACUCUGGGAUAACAGUUGGAAACAGCUGCUAAUACCGGAUACGAGACGGAGAGGCAUCUCUACCGUCUGGAAAGUUUUUCGGUCUGGGAUGGACUCGCGGCCUAUCAGCUAGUUGGUGAGGUAGUGGCUCACCAAGGCGACGACGGGUAGCCGGCCUGAGAGGGCGACCGGCCACACUGGGACUGAGACACGGCCCAGACUCCUACGGGAGGCAGCAGUGGGGAAUAUUGCACAAUGGGCGAAAGCCUGAUGCAGCGACGCCGCGUGAGGGAUGACGGCCUCGGUUGUAACCGUACUUCUAGCAGGAGAAGACGCAAAUAGACGGUAACC